AAUAAAAUUAAUUAGAAGAGUAGAAACAAUUCGAGAUAGCUCUAUUUUCUCUCUCUAUUACUCUCUAUACUCUCUAUUUUCUCUCGCUAGAACUUCUUGGAAGAUCUGGUUUAGGGUUUUUGUUGGAAGAUUUUGAUUUAAUUUUGUUAUUUUUUGUGGUAUCAAGUUUGUUUAUUAAGGAAAAAGGUGUGUAAUUCUAACAUGUCGAUUUGGGCCAUCUAUGUAUUACAAACUGGAUAAAGGGUUUAUAAAGUGAUGUCAGAUUCGCGAAUUUACGAGCUAGAAGAUAUCGUCUGGGAAUUAGGUGACAAUGACGAUCAUAUAGUGCCUCAACCUGGAGGAAAAAGGAGUGGAUUUUCACUUGAGAGUGACAGUAGUAAGAGUCAACGACUUCAGCUAAGAUGCGCUGUAAAUAAUGCUGACAACAGAAGUGCUUCAGACAAUGUUAUUCAUAGAAAGGAGGGAACCCACUUUUGUUCUGUGAAUGAAGAUAAGGAAAAAAUGAUGGAUAAUAGCCCACGGACCCACUCAUCUAGUGGAGGUUUUUCUGCUUCCCUUGAUGGGGAACGUAAUGGAAAAUUUUCAUGUUCCCCGUCUGAUGAAGAGAGGACUUUUAAACACUGUAUGACAAGUAGUAAUAUGGAUCCUACAGGUGAUGGAAUAUGUGCGGGGGAUCCUGUACUUGAAGAGCGACCAACUUCUAUGGACAAUAACUUGUACCAAUAUGAGCUGAACAAUGCAACUCAUGCGGAAAGUGGCCUUGACUUUUUUGGUAAUAAUCUUGAUGGCAAAGAGAGCAACGAUCUAUUGUACUAUCAAUGGUCUGAGAUAGAAAACUUUGAGGAUGUUGACCGGAUGUUCAGAAACUGUGAUUCAACUUUUGGUCUUGAUAUUGACAAUAAUGUUGAACUGGGCUGGUUUCCAACUUCACAUGCAAUGGAAGGAUCUGAUGAUGCAAUCAAGCCGAGCUUUAACUUUUCAGACUGCAGUACAAGCAGACUAGAUGGUGUGACUGAACAGAAAGAAGUCUUUGGGAUUAACAACAGUUUAGUAGCUGAUGAAAGUGAUGAGAAGCUUACAUUAGUUGCCAGUAAGAGAGUAUCAGAGAAGUUGACUGCAAAUGGCCCUUCAACCAUCAUGAAUUCCUCUAACAAUAAUGGAUCCAGUGUUAUAUCUAGCAUUGACAGUGAAUCACAGAUCCAGUCUAAUAUCAGCCAGCCAAAGCAUCAGAAACCAUCAGAAGGGAAAAGAAAAGAGCGGCCUUCAGAUAAUAUUGUCUCUUUCAUUCAAUUUGACAGCCUAAAUCAGGCAGCGGAAUCAAACCAUUCAUUGAACUUCCAACGUAAUCUCUCGUCCGAAAAUAGUCAACAAAAGGAAGCUUCUCAUUGCACUUCUGCACAGAUACCAAUUUCUUUGGUAAAUCCCAAUAACAGUCGCUCUACUAAUCAAGGUUUACAAAGCACGGCCUCAUCUAUAAUUAAGUCUGAAGAUGGUGGCCUUCCAACAGUACCCCUAAAAAAGUCUUCGUAUGCAUCCAACCAGAUGCAAUCAGUGGAGAGCACUCGUGAUGUUGCUCUCCAGAAUCCUUCAACUCCCAGGAACAAGAAAAAAGACAGGCCAUUUCAAAGCAAAUUAUCUGGACAUCCUGAAAAAGGCAACUUAAUGGUUCAAAAAGUUGAUUCUGAUCCAACUUGUAUACAAAAGCUAUGUGAUCUUGAAAAUGAAGCUGAAGGUCAGAGUGAAGUUGAUGAUGAAGCUGGGAUUGCAACAGAGUUGGACUCAUCUAACAUACAGGAAAGUUCUUGUGUGAGCUCAGUCUUGGAUGAAGUAUCAAUUGAUGCUAGUAGUUUUCAACAAUUACAAAGUGUCAUGGAGAAGCUAGACGUAAGGACAAAAAUGUGCAUAAGAGACAGUCUCUAUCGGCUUGCCAGGAGUGCUGAGCGGAGGCAUAAGUGUGUCAACCCUAUUGGUGGUGACAAAGAUGAUAAAGAUACUAGUGAAGCUUUUCUAUCUGAUGGAACAAAUAAAUGCACAGGAUUUAUGGAUAUGGAAACUGAUACGAAUCCCAUUGAUCGAUCAAUAGCGCAUUUGUUGUUCCAUAGGCCAUCAGACCCGUCUGCAACAGCUCCUUUGGAUGCUCUGCCUGUGAAGGAUCACACUAUGGGUCAGGCACGUAGUCAUGGUCCAUUGAUAGCAGAGAAACCUGCUUUUUGAGAAGAAACUACUUCAGCUAAUGGUGAAGCUGCUGAACACUGAUUUUGAAAGCUGAUGUGCAAACAAAUUGCUCUAUGAGGUCCCUGAGAGCAAGUGGCUUCAGUCCUGAAAGUUUGGCAUACUGUCCUGCAUGUAGUUCUUCAUGACCUGCCCAGUUAUGCAGGGAGAGGACGCGGCAACUUCUUUGUGGCUUAAAAGGCUUGAGUUUCAGACUAUCUGUUUGAGGGAAGAUGCUGAUCAGAAGCCUCCAAAAUACAGAUGGAUUUUAAAUCACUGCAUUCAGCAACUUAUUGUGUACAUUUUUACAUUUGAUUUUUGGCAUCAUAUGUGUACAUUGACUUUAGGGAGAUAACAUGUUCAAAUUUGAAUUUGUUUCGCAAAUGUUCAAAUUUGGCUAGCUAAUGUCUUGUAGUUGUAUUUUGUUGGACUACCCGCUAUAAAAAAUAACCGAGUUAGACAUGCUUA
This is an RNA transcript of Chenopodium quinoa (quinoa), 2679 nucleotides long. It is a transcript of the gene named protein LNK1-like, with no coding region annotated. The record is from RefSeq and is a predicted model, not a curated record. The transcript is spliced from 9 exons. Lineage: Eukaryota; Viridiplantae; Streptophyta; Magnoliopsida; Caryophyllales; Amaranthaceae.